AGGUUGUUGGUGCAAUGGUUAGCAUAAGUGACUCCAAAUCUCUUGAUAAGGGUUCGAAUCCUUUACAACCUG
RNAcentral lists this transfer RNA (72 nucleotides) under Myoviridae sp. ctPuP5. RNAcentral's name for it is "tRNA-Trp". It matches the Rfam family "tRNA". From Rfam's summary of the family: Transfer RNA (tRNA) molecules are approximately 80 nucleotides in length. Their secondary structure includes four short double-helical elements and three loops (D, anti-codon, and T loops). Further hydrogen bonds mediate the characteristic L-shaped molecular structure. tRNAs have two regions of fundamental functional importance: the anti-codon, which is responsible for specific mRNA codon recognition, and the 3' end, to which the tRNAs corresponding amino acid is attached (by aminoacyl-tRNA synthetases). tRNAs cope with the degeneracy of the genetic code in two manners: having more than one tRNA (with a specific anti-codon) for a particular amino acid; and 'wobble' base-pairing, i.e. permitting non-standard base-pairing at the 3rd anti-codon position. RNAcentral also lists the same sequence under 1 other name. The record is from RNAcentral. Lineage: Duplodnaviria; Heunggongvirae; Uroviricota; Caudoviricetes.